Molecule: ribosomal RNA, 191 nt
Filed under: uncultured bacterium
Lineage: Bacteria
Description: partial 16S ribosomal RNA
Rfam family: Bacterial small subunit ribosomal RNA
Source: RNAcentral
CACCAGUGGCGAAGGCGACUUACUGGUCUGUAAUUGACGCUGAGGCUCGAAAGCGUGGGUAGCAAACAGGAUUAGAUACCCUGGUAGUCCACGCCGUAAACGAUGAGUGCUAAGUGUUGGGAGGUUUUCCGCCUCUCAGUGCUGGAGUUAACGCAUUAAGCACUCCGCCUGGGGAGUACGGCCGCAAGGCU